RNAcentral lists this transfer RNA (57 nucleotides) under Dipodomys ordii (Ord's kangaroo rat). It matches the Rfam family "tRNA", at positions 8 to 63 of the family's 71-position model. Rfam says of the family: Transfer RNA (tRNA) molecules are approximately 80 nucleotides in length. Lineage: Eukaryota; Metazoa; Chordata; Mammalia; Rodentia; Heteromyidae. The record is from Rfam by way of RNAcentral.
UAGCUCAGUGGUAGAGCGCUUGCCUUGCAUGCAUGAGGCUCUGGGAUCAAUUCCUAG